GUCAGUCUUGAUAGAGGGAAGGCGCGUACCUUCAUCAGGUUUACCAUUCCCAUUUGUCAAGUAUCUUUUGCAAUGAGACAGAAUGGAUGGUGGUUGAUAAGGUUUCGUAAGCUUACUUGGACAAGACUUGAGCUUAGCUUUGGUUUUCCCAAACCGAGUCCUUCUUCGUCUUAUUGUGUGAACCCUAACACGUUUUUUUCCUUCUUUCCCAUAAAAGUUCUUUGCUGUUUCCAAAUUCUUGGUCUUCAAAGAAAAAACAGUAGAUUUUUUAUCAUCCUUAUUAGUUGCUUUGCUGAUCAAUUCACUCUUUCUAAGGGCAUGUUCAUCAACUUCUCCAGAAGGUGGCAAAUUCCCAGCCAGUAAGUUCCCUUCCAAUGCACAAAUUCUUUCAGCACAUCCAUUUCUGUACAGCUCAGGUUCCU
RNAcentral lists this unclassified non-coding RNA (422 nucleotides) under Hevea brasiliensis (rubber tree). The record is from RNAcentral. Lineage: Eukaryota; Viridiplantae; Streptophyta; Magnoliopsida; Malpighiales; Euphorbiaceae.